Molecule: non-coding RNA, 69 nt
Organism: Sarcophilus harrisii (Tasmanian devil)
Lineage: Eukaryota; Metazoa; Chordata; Mammalia; Dasyuromorphia; Dasyuridae
Source: Rfam
GUUUGUGUAGCUUAAUGCAAAGCAAAGCACUGAAAAUGCUUAGAUGGGCUUUAAUCAGUUCCACAAGCA